Molecule: ribosomal RNA, 497 nt
Filed under: uncultured bacterium
Lineage: Bacteria
Description: partial 16S ribosomal RNA
Rfam family: Bacterial small subunit ribosomal RNA
Source: RNAcentral
GAUGAACGCUGGCGGCGUGCCUAAUACAUGCAAGUCGAGCGAACAGACGAGGAGCUUGCUCCUCUGACGUUAGCGGCGGACGGGUGAGUAACACGUGGAUAACCUACCUAUAAGACUGGGAUAACUUCGGGAAACCGGAGCUAAUACCGGAUAAUAUAUUGAACCGCAUGGUUCAAUAGUGAAAGACGGUUUUGCUGUCACUUAUAGAUGGAUCCGCGCCGCAUUAGCUAGUUGGUAAGGUAACGGCUUACCAAGGCAACGAUGCGUAGCCGACCUGAGAGGGUGAUCGGCCACCCUGGAACUGAGACACGGUCCAGACUCCUACGGGAGGCAGCAGUAGGGAAUCUUCCGCAAUGGGCGAAAGCCUGACGGAGCAACGCCGCGUGAGGGAUGAAGGUCUUCGGAUCGUAAAACUCUGUUAUUAGGGAAGAACAAAUGUGUAAGUAACUAUGCACGUCUUGACGGUACCUAAUCAGAAAGCCACGGCUAACUACGUG